AUGAAGGUAAAAACCAAAACCACCAACCGAGAAGACACGAGUAGAGUCGAGACGAUUGCAGUUGCCGUUGCACCACACGUGGCCACCCCACACCGACGGGUGGUGGUACCGCUCGAAAGCGAGGGGAUCACACACACACACACGAAGGUAGAUCGAUCGAUCAGAAAUCAGAUAAUACAUGCAUGGCAUGGACCAUUAGCAAGUGCAACGCCGCUAAGCUUCGCUGUCCCGCCAAUGGACUGGAGCCUCGUCAGCUCGCCGGGAUGUGCCGGUCGGGCCUUGAUCGAUCUGAGACGUACGACGGAAUCAGUUGCGGGUCCCGCGAGUGGCGCAUGGGCGAGGAAGCUAGGCGACGCGCGCUCGAGUGGACAGGUCUUGUCGCUGGCCGGCCCCAUUACCCCGUUAUCCAUCUAA
Molecule: ribosomal RNA, 414 nt
Filed under: Triticum aestivum (bread wheat)
Lineage: Eukaryota; Viridiplantae; Streptophyta; Magnoliopsida; Poales; Poaceae
Description: partial small subunit ribosomal RNA
Source: RNAcentral